CCCCUAAGGCGAGGCCGAAAGGCGUAGUCGAUGGGAAACAGGUUAAUAUUCCUGUACUUGGUGUUACUGCGAAGGGGGGACGGAGAAGGCUAUGUUAGCCGGGCGACGGUUGUCCCGGUUUAAGCAUGUAGGCUGAUUGUCCAGGCAAAUCCGGAUAAUCAAGGCUGAGGUGUGAUGACGAGGCACUACGGUGCUGAAGUAACAAAUGCCCUGCUUCCAGGAAAAGCCUCUAAGCAUCAGGUAACAUCAAAUCGUACCCCAAA
This 263-nucleotide ribosomal RNA is filed under the name Klebsiella pneumoniae. RNAcentral describes it as "partial 23S ribosomal RNA". It matches the Rfam family "Bacterial large subunit ribosomal RNA", at positions 1388 to 1653 of the family's 2925-position model. The record is from RNAcentral. Lineage: Bacteria; Pseudomonadati; Pseudomonadota; Gammaproteobacteria; Enterobacterales; Enterobacteriaceae.